UACGUAGGGUGCAAGCGUUGUCCGGAAUUAUUGGGCGUAAAGAGCUCGUAGGCGGUCUGUCGCGUCUGCUGUGAAAACUCGGGGCUUAACCCCGGGCCUGCAGUGGGUACGGGCAGACUAGAGUGCGGUAGGGGAGACUGGAAUUCCUGGUGUAGCGGUGAAAUGCGCAGAUAUCAGGAGGAACACCGGUGGCGAAGGCGGGUCUCUGGGCCGUAACUGACGCUGGGGAGCGAAAGCAUGGGGAGCGAACAGG
Molecule: ribosomal RNA, 253 nt
Filed under: uncultured bacterium
Lineage: Bacteria
Description: partial 16S ribosomal RNA
Rfam family: Bacterial small subunit ribosomal RNA
Source: RNAcentral